UGUUUCUUUGAAUAGACAUGUCCCUACGAAGGAGUCCAUUCGUUUGAACAGACAUGUCCUUACAAAAGAAUUCAUUUGUUUAACACAUAAAUUUCACCAAGUAAUUUAUCAAAUACACAUGCAUUAUUAAAAUUUGCAAUCUAAUUUCUCAACAGCUAGAAUCCCUCUUGGUGGUUCUAGGUUUCUAACCCUUGAAGCUACUCCUUGAUUACUAAUAGCCCUUGGAUCAAAUACUAUUUCACCUACCACCUCCAACCACCAUCUACCACCAUCAUCCCAACCUUACAUUUUUCCAUCCAAGGAUUAAAAACUCAAAAGCACCAACCUCGAUGCUUUUGAGAGUAUUCUAACUCAACUAUAUAUAUAUAUAUAUAUAGAGAGAGAGAGAGAGAGAGAGAGAGAGAGAGUUCGGCUACUAUACUAUCGAUAGUACCAAGCCCUUGGUACUAUUGAGUUUUCUACCGUUAGAUCUACCCUUUGAUCAUUUCCACCUGUUAGAUUAUACUAUUAAACUAAUCACCCACUCAACCCUAGGGGACCACUAUCAUCCUAACUGCACAUCCUUUUUAUCCAACGACCGAAAACUCAAUAGUACCACACCCACUCAACCCUAGGGGACCACUAUCAUCCUAACCGCGCAUCCUUUCACCCAACGGCCGAAAAUUCAAUAGUAUCAAGGACUUGGUACUAUUGAUAGUAUAGUAGCAUAAUUCUAUAUAUAUAGGCUAAUGCUACUAUCCUAUUAAUAAGAUAGGAGCACUUGUCCUAUCAAGUUGUUCUUGAUGAUCGAGAUUCCGAAUCGAUAAUCGGAGCCGUUGAAGUUGAUCUAGAGUAUUUGAAAUAUCUAGAAACUAAAUUUCAUAAAUUUUCAUAAUGGUUUACCUGGUGAUCAAAGUGUCGUAAAAUCGACAAUUUUUUACGGUCUAUAUGAGCCGUUUGCUUGUUUAACGGUGUAGAACAAUCCAAAUUGCUUGAAUUUUUGAUAGAAAAUUCUUUAUACUAUUUAGAUAAUGUUUGAUAACUCUGAUUACGAACUGAGAAAAUCUAACCUCUAUUUUAAGAAGGUUAUUCAUUUAUGACCGUUCAUUUUUCAACUCUUAAGAUGAACUUGAUAAUGAUUUUUAAAUAAUACAAAAAUUGGUUUCUAAACAUUUCUAAUUGUGUAGAUCAACUUCAACGGUGCCGAUUAUCAAUUUGAAGUUCCAAUCAUUCAAAUCGACUUGAUAGGACAAGGGUCCCAAUCCUAUUAAUAGGAUAGUAGCCGGACCUAUAUAUAUAUAUAUAUAUAUAUAUAUAUNCGAUGAUGUGGCUUCCAAAUCGACGAUCGGCUCCGUUAGACUUGAUCUACACUAUUGAAAAUAUUUGAAAACUAAAUUUUAUAAUUUUUCGAUAUCAUUUACCUAUCAAACAAGUAGUCUAAAAUUGAACGGCUGAAAAUAAAAAUCUCAUGAAAAAUGAUGAUAAAAGAUUUAAAUUCAAGAUCAGAUAUACUGAUCUUACUUUAAAUAGUGAAAAAAAUUUUCUAUAAAAUUUUCAUCGCAUUUGGAUUGUUUUACACUGUUAAACUCACAAACACACCACAUCGGCUCUUAAAAUUGUCAAUUUUGAGAUUUUUUGAUCACUAGUCAAAUGAUGUCGAAAAAAUCUGAAAUUUAGUUUUCAAAUACUUUCAAUAGUGUAAAUCAAAUCUAGCGGAGCCGAUCGUCGAUUUGAAAGCCGCAUCAUCGAAAACAACUCGGUAGCACGGAGCGCUCCGUGCUACCGAUAGCAUAGUAGCUGGACUAUAUAUAUAUAUAUAUAUUUCAUUUAUUUUCUUGUG
This 1819-nucleotide long non-coding RNA is filed under the name Ananas comosus (pineapple). RNAcentral's name for it is "long non-coding RNA (ACOM_LNC011600)". Lineage: Eukaryota; Viridiplantae; Streptophyta; Magnoliopsida; Poales; Bromeliaceae. The record is from RNAcentral.